GAUGAACGCUAGCGAUAGGCUUAACACAUGCAAGUCGAGGGGCAGCAUGGUCUUAGCUUGCUAAGGCUGAUGGCGACCGGCGCACGGGUGCGUAACGCGUAUGCAACUUGCCUCACAGAGGGGGAUAACCCGUCGAAAGACGGACUAAUACCGCGUACACUCUAUGUUGGGCAUCCAAUGUAGAGGAAAUGAAAUUCGCUGUUAGAUAGGCAUGCGUCCCAUUAGCUAGUUGGUGAGGUAACGGCUCACCAAGGCGACGAUGGGUAGGGGAACUGAGAGGUUGAACCCCCACACUGGUACUGGGACACGGACCAGACUCCUACGGGAGGCAGCAGUGAGGAAUAUUGGUCAAUGGGCGAGAGCCUGAACCAGCCAAGUCGCGUGAAGGAUGACUGUCUUAUGAAUUGUAAACUUCUUUUAUACGGGAAUAACAAGAGUCACGUGUGGCUCCCUGCAUGUACCGUAUGAAUAAGCAUCGGCUAACUCCGUG
This 490-nucleotide ribosomal RNA is filed under the name uncultured bacterium. Its description in RNAcentral is "partial 16S ribosomal RNA". It matches the Rfam family "Bacterial small subunit ribosomal RNA", at positions 28 to 507 of the family's 1533-position model. The record is from RNAcentral.